GCCCUGGCAGUCAGAGGCGAUGAAGGGCGUGCUAAUCUGCGAUAAGCGCCGGUAAGGUGAUAUGAACCGUUAUAACCGGCGAUACCCGAAUGGGGAAACCCAGUGUGAUUCGUCACACUAUCAUUAACUGAAUCCAUAGGUUAAUGAGGCGAACCGGGGGAACUGAAACAUCUAAGUACCCCGAGGAAAAGAAAUCAACCGAGAUUCCCCCAGUAGCGGCGAGCGAACGGGGAGGAGCCCAGAGCCUGAAUCAGCAUGUGUGUUAGUGGAAGCGUCUGGAAAGGCGCGCGAUACAGGGUGACAGCCCCGUACACAAAAGCGCAUGUGCUGUGAGCUCGAUGAGUAGGGCGGGACACGUGGUAUCCUGUCUGAAUAUGGGGGGACCAUCCUCCAAGGCUAAAUACUCCUGACUGACCGAUAGUGAACCAGUACCGUGAGGGAAAGGCGAAAAGAACCCCGGCGAGGGGAGUGAAAAAGAACCUGAAACCGUGUACGUACAAGCAGUGGGAGCACCCUUUUGGGUGUGACUGCGUACCUUUUGUAUAAUGGGUCAGCGACUUAUAUUCUGUAGCAAGGUUAACCGAAUAGGGGAGCCGGAGGGAAACCGAGUCUUAACCGGGCGUUAAGUUGCAGGGUAUAGACCCGAAACCCGGUGAUCUAGCCAUGGGCAGGUUGAAGGUUGGGUAACACUAACUGGAGGACCGAACCGACUAAUGUUGAAAAAUUAGCGGAUGACCUGUGGCUGGGGGUGAAAGGCCAAUCAAACCGGGAGAUAGCUGGUUCUCCCCGAAAGCUAUUUAGGUAGCGCCUCGUGAAUUCAUCUCCGGGGGUAGAGCACUGUUUCGGCUAGGGGGCCAUCCCGGCUUACCAACCCGAUGCAAACUGCGAAUACCGGAGAAUGUUAUCACGGGAGACACACGGCGGGUGCUAACGUCCGUCGUGAAGAGGGAAACAACCCAGACCGCCAGCUAAGGUCCCAAAGUCAUGGUUAAGUGGGAAACGAUGUGGGAAGGCCCAGACAGCCAGGAUGUUGGCUUAGAAGCAGCCAUCAUUUAAAGAAAGCGUAAUAGCUCACUGGUCGAGUCGGCCUGCGCGGAAGAUGUAACGGGGCUAAACCAUGCACCGAAGCUGCGGCAGCGACACUGAUGUGUUGUUGGGUAGGGGAGCGUUCUGUAAGCCUGUGAAGGUGUGUCGUGAGGCAUGCUGGAGGUA
This 1212-nucleotide ribosomal RNA is filed under the name Salmonella enterica. RNAcentral describes it as "partial 23S ribosomal RNA". It matches the Rfam family "Bacterial large subunit ribosomal RNA", at positions 30 to 1281 of the family's 2925-position model. The record is from RNAcentral. Lineage: Bacteria; Pseudomonadati; Pseudomonadota; Gammaproteobacteria; Enterobacterales; Enterobacteriaceae.